GAGUUUGAUCUUGGCUCAGAUUGAACGCUGGCGGCAUGCUUUACACAUGCAAGUCGAACGGAUCUAGGGGCUUGCUCCUAGGUUAGUGGCGAACGGGUGAGUAAUGCAUCGGAACGUACCGUGUAGUGGGGGAUAACCCGGCGAAAGUCGGAUUAAUACCGCAUACGAUCUACGGAUGAAAGCGGGGGACCUUAGGGCCUCGCGCUAUACGAGCGGCCGAUGUCGGAUUAGCUAGUUGGUGAGGUAAAGGCUCACCAAGGCGACGAUCCGUAGCGGGUCUGAGAGGAUGAUCCGCCACACUGGGACUGAGACACGGCCCAGACUCCUACGGGAGGCAGCAGUGGGGAAUUUUGGACAAUGGACGCAAGUCUGAUCCAGCCAUGCCGCGUGAGUGAAGAAGGCCUUCGGUUGU
RNAcentral lists this ribosomal RNA (412 nucleotides) under uncultured beta proteobacterium. RNAcentral's name for it is "bacterial SSU rRNA". It matches the Rfam family "Bacterial small subunit ribosomal RNA", at positions 9 to 426 of the family's 1533-position model. Lineage: Bacteria; Pseudomonadati; Pseudomonadota; Betaproteobacteria. The record is from RNAcentral.